UACGGAGUGUGCAAACGUUACUCGGAAUCACUGGGCAUAAAGCGCGCGUAGGCGGGUUUUCAAGUCGGUUGUGAAAUCCCUCAGCUCAACUGAGGAACUGCAUCCGAUACUGUCUGUCUUGAGGACGAGAGGGGAAAGUGGAACUUCUGGUGGAGCGGUGAAAUGCGUAGAUAUCAGAAGGAACGCCGGUGGCGAAAGCGACUUUCUGGCUCGUAUCUGACGCUGAGGCGCGAAAGCUUGGGUAGCAAACGGG
This 253-nucleotide ribosomal RNA is filed under the name uncultured bacterium. RNAcentral describes it as "partial 16S ribosomal RNA". It matches the Rfam family "Bacterial small subunit ribosomal RNA", at positions 524 to 776 of the family's 1533-position model. The record is from RNAcentral.